This 499-nucleotide ribosomal RNA is filed under the name uncultured Glomeromycotina. Its description in RNAcentral is "partial small subunit ribosomal RNA". It matches the Rfam family "Eukaryotic small subunit ribosomal RNA", at positions 591 to 1092 of the family's 1831-position model. The record is from RNAcentral. Lineage: Eukaryota; Fungi; Glomeromycota.
CCAAUAGCGUAUAUUAAAGUUGUUGCAGUUAAAAAGCUCGUAGUUGAAUUUCGGGAUCAAGGAAUCGGUCAUGCCUUGGUACGUACUGGUUUUAUUGGUUCUCACCUUCUAAAGAACCAUAAUGUCAUUUAUUUGAUGUUAUGGGGAAUUAGGACUGUUACCUUGAAAAAAUUAGAGUGUUUAAAGCAAGCUUACGCUUGAAUACAUUAGCAUGGAAUAAUGAAAUAGGACAUCAGAUUCUAUUUUGUUGGUUUCUAGGAUCGAUGUAAUGAUUAAUAGGGAUAGUUGGGGGCAUUAGUAUUCAAUUGUCAGAGGUGAAAUUCUUGGAUUUAUUGAAGACUAACUACUGCGAAAGCAUUUGCCAAGGAUGUUUUCAUUAAUCAAGAACGAAAGUUAGGGGAUCGAAGACGAUCAGAUACCGUCGUAGUCUUAACCAUAAACUAUGCCGACUAGGGAUCGGAUGAUGUUAAUUUUUUAAUGACUCAUUCGGCACCUUACG